Molecule: long non-coding RNA, 2844 nt
Filed under: Medicago truncatula (barrel medic)
Lineage: Eukaryota; Viridiplantae; Streptophyta; Magnoliopsida; Fabales; Fabaceae
Description: long non-coding RNA (MTRU_LNC003702)
Source: RNAcentral
GACAAUUCUCUCAUUCUCUGGUGGGGUAGGGAGCCAAUCAAGUGAUGUAUGCUUCCAAUAAUUGGUAGCUUCCAAGGACCUGGAGGAAGAUUAUUUGAGGUAACUAUUUCACUGCUUUUACUUUUGAAUCUCUUUCCUACUUUUAGGAGAAAAAACAAUUAGAGGAUAAGACUAAAAAAGAUGGAGAACCAUAAGAAAUUAUCCUCCAUUUGGAAAGUUAAGUCUUGUUUGAUUAAUGAUGACAUAUUUCGGUCCAAAUUUAUAUACAGGCAGAGUAUCUAACAAGUUGCAUUAUUUUGUCCAUUAUUCAAUACAUUGAUUAUUGGAAAUGCAUGUAGAUUAAUUAUACUACACAUUGGAUCCUAUUUAGUUUUUUCAUUUAAGUGAUUGAUUGCAAUUCAGGUUAAACUUGCGGACGGCUAAUGCCAAUAAACUAUCAAUUUAAUUCCAAAAACUAUCUAUAUCUCUUCAAUUUAAUCUCUAAACUACGAAAAUAUAAAUAUAGUCCUCGACUCAAACUAUAAAAAAAAAAAAAAAAAAAAAAGAUCCAAGGUCCGCCCCUGCUAAUAUAACAUCAGCUUGGUACGGUUUGAUUACUACUAUAAGAGUUUAUUAGUCUAUAAUUGAGUUGACAUUUGGAUCUCAAUUAUACAAACCAAGCAAAUAUAUAAAAUAUAAUAUCAUGACAUAUACAUGGAUGUAUGAUUUUAAAGUACUCUAUCUAGACUGAAAGAGUCUAAAGAUGUUUCUUCCUAAAAUUAUAGUAGUGUAUUAAUCAACUCAUUAUCGUUUAUAAUUACAUCACAACAAAGUUGACUGUUAAAAAUUUGAUUAAGCUAUUUUGUGUCCACUUCAUUCAUUGUAUGUUUGAAUAUUUUUUUAAUUUUUUUAUAAAUUCGAAUCUUGUGUAUAUGUAAAUGCAUGUUUGAAAGGAGAGACCAUGAUCAGAGUUCUAAACUGGUUUUUAGUUCUUAGAUGAAGAUUAAUCAUUAUUAAAAUUGAAUCGAUGAAUACUAUACACCAAUGACAUGCUUAAAAAACUAGAAUCAAAUAUUUUUAAAGUAAUUUUUCAUGUCCCCUCCAAUCCUAUCACGAUACUGGGUCCACCCAGGCUUAUUUAAAACGAGCUAGCUUCAUGAACGUGGUACUUCUUCCGUCUCAUAUUAUGUGAUCUAGUUAACUCUGUUAUCUAUGCCAAUGCACAAUUUUGAAUUUAAAUAUCUUUAAUAAUUUAUUCGAAAAAAUUAUGAAAAUUUAAUAUUUAAAAAAUAUUCGUCGAGACGAAUCCAACAUCUUAUAUACUAUAUUUUGUCUUUAUAUAUUAAUAGAAAAAUAGAGUCAAAGCGUGUUACAUGAACAAUAUAUAUUUUUAAAUUGUGUCAUUUAAAACGGGACGGAGUGAGUAUUGUUUAAUUGCAUUCAUUAGUCUGUAAUUUAGUUGACUUUUGGAUCUCAAUUAUAUAAACCAGGAAGCAAUGAUAUACUCCAUCUGUCCCAACUUGUAAGAAGAAAAAAAAUCACAGAAAACUAAAACAUAAGAAUUUAAAUAUAGUUUUUUGUGUUUUCUUUGAAAUAAGUUUCAUAGGAAGAUGUAAAAAUUAUUUUCAUUCGCUAUUGAUUAUGAAAAAAUGGAAGAGAGGGAAAAUUAAAUGUAAUUUGAAUUUAAUUUCAUGAAAAUAAACAUAAGUUUUUGUUGGAAAAGAUGAUUUUUUUUUAAAAACAAGAAUAAAUAGAAUAAAAAUUUAUCUUUUUUGAUUACAUUUUGAGAUAAAGAAAAUGAGUAUUUUUACUUACAUUUUAGGACGGAGAGAGUAUGUAUACUAUAAAAUGAUUACCAUUGAUUUUGACACACUCAUUGAAAUUUCAACCUCUCUCUUUUUUUUUUUUUUUUUUUUAUAUGUGUUCUCGUCACAUCAUCACUAAAAUUUCAUAUCUAUUACAUCAGUCUCAUUAUUCUUCUCUAUUUUAAGGUGUAUAAUUGAGAUAGAUGUUCAAAAAUUAUUUUCUAUAUAAUAUCAUAUAUAUGAUGACAUAUACAUGGAUAUCUGAUUUUAAAGUAUUCUAUCUAGUCUGAAAGUUUAAAGAUGUUGAUUCCUAAAAAUUAUAGGAGUAUAUCAAUCAAGUCAUCUAUACUAUCAUUUAUAAAUCACUGCAAGUUGAUAUUAAUUUUUAUAAGCUAUUAUUUGUCUACUUCAUUCAUUUUUGUUAAUUUUUUUAAUUGUGGCCAAAUAGUUUUUUGUUAAUCAAGUCAUCUAUACUAUCAUAUAUAUUAGUUUUUUAAUUGUUUAUAGGGAAAUUAUUACGUUUUCUUAGAGUGGAAAAUUCUUAUGUUGAUGCCCUUGCAAGUUUAGAGAUCAAUUGUGACUUAUUUACACAAUUUUUUUUAUGACUAUCCUGAUCAGAUAAAGCAUUUGUACUUCUCUAAUAUGCAUCGUCGAUUAACAGCUUUAUAGUUUUUUUUUUGGGCUUAGGUCCUCUUCAAUUCCAAAAAAAAAAAUAAAAAAAAAUAACAAAAAGGUCUUUGUAUUGUUACAAAUUUAAAAUUUUAAAUACAAAUUAAUAGGAUGCUUAUAAAUACGAUUUAAAUAACUUCCAAACUUAUAGAAAAUUCAUAUAUAAGUCUAAUCCAAAUACAUAUUCAAUUUAAAAGAGAUUUGUGAUAUAAUUACAUCAAAAAGCUUCUUUAUGUUUCCAGUUUACGAAGAAUAAUAUGAGCACCGUAUUGUGGCUUAAGAGCAAUUACUGUGGCUGGAGCAUGAGCAUAGGCUGGAGAAAGUUGAAAUGAGAAAUGCUGUAAAAUCAAUGUCAUUGCCAUCUUUGCUUCCAAUAGAGAAAAGUUUUGCC